AGAGUUUGAUCCUGGCUCAGGAUGAACGCUAGCUACAGGCUUAACACAUGCAAGUCGAGGGGCAGCAUGUUGGUUGCUUUGCAACCAAUGAUGGCGACCGGCGCACGGGUGAGUAACGCGUAUCCAACCUACCCUUGUCCGAUCCGGAUAACCCGUCGAAAGGCGGCCUAACACGAUAUGCGGUUCACAGCAGGCAUCUAAGGUGAACGAAAUGUGAAGGAGAAGGAUGGGGAUGCGUCUGAUUAGCUUGUUGGCGGGGUAACGGCCCACAAGGCGACGAUCAGUAGGGGUUCUGAGAGGAAGGUCCCCCCACAUUGGAACUGAGACACGGUCCAAACUCCUACGGGAGCA
RNAcentral lists this ribosomal RNA (351 nucleotides) under uncultured bacterium. RNAcentral's name for it is "bacterial SSU rRNA". It matches the Rfam family "Bacterial small subunit ribosomal RNA", at positions 8 to 349 of the family's 1533-position model. The record is from RNAcentral.